UUUCCGUAGGUGAACCCGCGGAAGGAUCAUUACUGAAGUGAGUCUUCAUCAUUGAAGCUUCUUCCCAUUGUGCUGGCUUUGACCGUAUGUAAUGUUGGGGAUUAAACAUGGUAGAAAUUUAUUUUAGCCGUCCCCAACAAUUUAUCUUAUCCUUUAUUAAAUUGAACUGAACUCAUUUUGAGAUUACAUAAAAAAUAAUCUUUUAAUACAACUUUCAACAACGGAUCUCUUGGUUCUC
Molecule: unclassified non-coding RNA, 238 nt
Filed under: plant metagenome
Description: partial contains small subunit ribosomal RNA, internal transcribed spacer 1, and 5.8S ribosomal RNA
Source: RNAcentral